CAGUAGCCGCGGGAACACGAGGGAGCUAGCGUUGUUCGGAAUUACUGGGCGUGAAGCGCACGUAGGCGGUUAUUCAAGUCAGAGGUGAAAGCCCAGUGCUCAACACUGGAACUGCCUUUGAAACUAGAUAACUUGAAUCCAGGAGAGGUGAGUGGAAUUCCGAGUGUAGAGGUGAAAUUCGUUGAGAUCGGAAAGAACACCAACGGCGAAAGCACUCUGCUGGGCCGACACUGACACUGAGAGACGAAAGCGUGGGGAGCAAACAGGAUUAGAUACCCCGGUAGUCCCUGUCUCUUAUACC
RNAcentral lists this ribosomal RNA (301 nucleotides) under uncultured bacterium. Its description in RNAcentral is "partial 16S ribosomal RNA". It matches the Rfam family "Bacterial small subunit ribosomal RNA", at positions 509 to 808 of the family's 1533-position model. The record is from RNAcentral.